GGUUGAAUGGCCGAGAUUUAAGGCGAUAACCUGUAAAUUUAUUAACGAGUUUUCUCUUCAACCA
RNAcentral lists this transfer RNA (64 nucleotides) under Tenebrionoidea sp. 19 KM-2017. Its description in RNAcentral is "tRNA-Tyr". It matches the Rfam family "tRNA". From Rfam's summary of the family: Transfer RNA (tRNA) molecules are approximately 80 nucleotides in length. The record is from RNAcentral. Lineage: Eukaryota; Metazoa; Arthropoda; Insecta; Coleoptera.